CAUAUCCACAGGCCAAUGUGAACGGAGCGUCUUCUCAGUUGAUGUUAUUUUCCCCCUAGACUCCAACUUCUAUCAAAUGGACAAGAGACUAAUGAGACACAAGGGCAGGGAGAUAUACUUGUAGAUCCCAGGGGUCUUCCUAAAUGGCAGUGAGAUUACCACCUUCAGCUGAGACUACUGCGUUGCAUAUGUAAGGUGCUUCCUGGAGGAAAAUGGAGCAUUCUUAAAGUGCCGGGCCCACUCAAAACUCCUCUUCGAUUGCCCAUGCAAAGCACGGAGCCAAGAUAGAAAGCGCUGCAUUAAUUUCAGAAGAAAGCCAUGGAUGGAUGAGAUAGGUCAGCAUCACCAGCACCGCCACUGAAUCCGGAGGGAACUGACCCCAGACUCACCUGCCCUGGUCACAUUAAGCCCACCCUUUAUUCGCACUCUGCUCUCUGGCACGCAUGUGCAGAGAGGCUGGAGCUAGUGCCUCUGCAGGAGGGCAGGACGGCCACCCACAGGAACAAGAAGCUGACCGCAGCCCUCUCUCCUCUGCAGGCUGGCCAGUCGAAAACAGAAUCGGGAGGAGAAUAUCGGAGCCAAGAUAAAUCGGGAGAUUUUUACACAGCACAGGUCUAGACAGGACUCGUGUGUUUAUUGGGCCCAACUGGGAUUUUAAUGCAAAAACAACGGGACUACUGAUUUAUCUGAGAAUAACUAAGAUAAAAUAAAAUACUAUGAAACAUGCUCGAACCAUCAGGCAAGAAACAGAGAUAGAGAACAGUUCCAGGCCUUUCUACAGCUAAUAAAGUUACCUUACAUUAAAAUUC
Long non-coding RNA from Mus caroli (Ryukyu mouse), 809 nucleotides. RefSeq lists it as uncharacterized. Lineage: Eukaryota; Metazoa; Chordata; Mammalia; Rodentia; Muridae. The record is from RefSeq and is a predicted model, not a curated record.